RNAcentral lists this ribosomal RNA (432 nucleotides) under uncultured bacterium. Its description in RNAcentral is "partial 16S ribosomal RNA". It matches the Rfam family "Bacterial small subunit ribosomal RNA", at positions 29 to 506 of the family's 1533-position model. The record is from RNAcentral.
AACGAACGCUGGCGGCAUGCCUAACACAUGCAAGUCGAACGAAACCUUCGGGUCUAGUGGCGCACGGGUGCGUAACGCGUGGGAACCUGCCCUUAGGUUCGGAAUAACUCCCCGAAAGGGGUGCUAAUACCGGAUAAUGUCUUCGGACCAAAGAUUUAUCGCCUUUGGAUGGGCCCGCGUUGGAUUAGCUAGUUGGUAGGGUAAAAGCCUACCAAGGCGACGAUCCAUAGCUGGUCUGAGAGGAUGAUCAGCCACACUGGGACUGAGACACGGCCCAGACUCCUACGGGAGGCAGCAGUGGGGAAUAUUGGACAAUGGGCGAAAGCCUGAUCCAGCAAUGCCGCGUGAGUGAUGAAGGCCUUAGGGUUGUAAAGCUCUUUUACCCGGGAUGAUAAUGACGGUACCGGGAGAAUAAGCUCCGGCUAACUCGGU